UUAAUACAAGAUGGCAUCAUGAGUCCGCAUGUUCACAUGAUUAAAGGUAUUCCGGUAGACGAUGGGGAUGCGUUCCAUUAGAUAGUAGGCGGGGUAACGGCCCACCUAGUCUUCGAUGGAUAGGGGUUCUGAGAGGAAGGUCCCCCACAUUGGAACUGAGACACGGUCCAAACUCCUACGGGAGGCAGCAGUGAGGAAUAUUGGUCAAUGGGCGAGAGCCUGAACCAGCCAAGUAGCGUGAAGGAUGACUGCCCUAAGGGUUGUAAACUUCUUUUAUAAAGGAAUAAAGUCGGGUAUGGAUACCCGUUUGCAUGUACUUUAUGAAUAAGGAUCGGCUAACUCCGUGCCAGCAGCCGCGGUAAUACGGAGGAUCCGAGCGUUAUCCGGAUUUAUUGGGUUUAAAGGGAGCGUAGAUGGAUGUUUAAGUCAGUUGUGAAAGUUUGCGGCUCAACCGUAAAAUUGCAGUUGAUACUGGAUAUCUUGAGUGCAGUUGAGGCAGGCGGAAUUCGUGGUGUAGCGGUGAAAUGCUUAGAUUUCACGAAGAACUCCGAUUGCGAAGGCAGCCUGCUAAGCUGCAACUGACAUUGAGGCUCGAAAGUGUGGGUAUCAAACAGGAUUAGAUAC
This 624-nucleotide ribosomal RNA is filed under the name uncultured bacterium. RNAcentral describes it as "bacterial SSU rRNA". It matches the Rfam family "Bacterial small subunit ribosomal RNA", at positions 163 to 785 of the family's 1533-position model. The record is from RNAcentral.